CAAAGGCGGCGAGGCAACUCUAUUGUUUCUGCCAGCACUGAAGUGUCAGCACGCUGGGCGAUAAUAAAUCAGCUGCGGAUAAUGUCAACACCAUGGCCCCGGCGACCCCGAGUAAAUAUUUCUGCUGAUGACUUUGUCGUGUGUCGGUGGCGGUGUCACCCUAACAGUUUGAUGCGUUUUUGAUGCUGCUUGGGAUUAUCAUUAUUCGGGCUUCAAGUGGCAAUGGUCCUUGGAUUGAGGCUUUGACAAACGACAAACAGUUUUCUGGCGUUUCUGGCUUUUUGCGAGACGAGUGGCAUCGAUGACAAAGUGUUGACCCUGUCGCGCUGUUUGCUAAUUAAUUAGCCGUCUUUUGUCCGAAACAUCGAAGCUGUGCAGCGUCAAAAUUUUAAUUAAUGUUUGCCAUGUGAUUCGCCGGAAUUCCAAGCUCACAAACUUCGCACUACUUUCUCGCCUGGCGAAAGGACGACAUAGACGGCAGGACGAAAGUCGGAGACAAUGGCAAACAAUGCCAAACAUCGAGCAUCGUGAUGCCGCGUAACAAGGGGCACUUGUUCGCCAUCUAAUACACAACUAAAUUCCCCAGGCCCCACUUUAUCCGCCGGAAUGACAAUGACGUGGGGAGCCGGAGGCGUCCUGACAGCUAUCCACACCCGGGAUCUGAACUCCACGCACACUACACACUACUGAAGAAAACAUCCGCCCAUACUGUUAACCUAACUUUGGACCUUCUUUAGCUGUGUUUCUAGCAGUGCAUCUGUAUGCCUCCAUUUCCUGAAACACUCGCAUAAUUAGCUUUGAACGGCCCUCAAUUACUGGGCAACGCAGUGCCAUUGCUUCAAUGGUUAGUUGACAAUUGGAUGGGCAGAUGUCACAGGCAGAAAGCAAACAGUUCUCUGUAAACAAGGCUCAACCUUUGGAAUUGACCAUGGCAGCUAGGACAAGGAAAAAUCGAAUAUAAAGUAGUCCCCUAUUAAGACUGAAUGUUAGAAUAUAUAGGCA
This is a long non-coding RNA of Drosophila santomea, 1002 nucleotides long. RefSeq lists it as uncharacterized. The transcript is spliced from 3 exons. NCBI's taxonomy places the organism in Eukaryota, Metazoa, Arthropoda, Insecta, Diptera, Drosophilidae. The record is from RefSeq and is a predicted model, not a curated record.